Molecule: transfer RNA, 78 nt
Filed under: Magnetovibrio sp.
Lineage: Bacteria; Pseudomonadati; Pseudomonadota; Alphaproteobacteria; Rhodospirillales; Magnetovibrionaceae
Also listed under: 1 other name
Description: tRNA-Glu
Rfam family: tRNA
About the family: Transfer RNA (tRNA) molecules are approximately 80 nucleotides in length. Their secondary structure includes four short double-helical elements and three loops (D, anti-codon, and T loops). Further hydrogen bonds mediate the characteristic L-shaped molecular structure. tRNAs have two regions of fundamental functional importance: the anti-codon, which is responsible for specific mRNA codon recognition, and the 3' end, to which the tRNAs corresponding amino acid is attached (by aminoacyl-tRNA synthetases). tRNAs cope with the degeneracy of the genetic code in two manners: having more than one tRNA (with a specific anti-codon) for a particular amino acid; and 'wobble' base-pairing, i.e. permitting non-standard base-pairing at the 3rd anti-codon position.
Source: RNAcentral
GACCCCUUCGUCUAGUCAGGUCUAGGACACCUGCCUUUCACGCAGGCAACACGGGUUCGAAUCCCGUAGGGGUCGCCA